UCUAGAGCCCUGUAAGGUAUGUUCUAUAGCCUAGUCUAGAACCCUGUAAGGUAUGUUCUCUAGUCUAGAGCCCUGUAAGGUAUGUUCUCUAGUCUAGAGCCCUGUAAGGUAUGUUCUAUAGCCUAGUCUAGAACCCUGUAAGGUAUGUUCUAUAGCCUAGUCUAGAGCCCUGUAAGGUAUGUUCUAUAGUCUAGUCUAGAGCCCUGUAAGGUAUGUUCUAUAGCCUAGUCUAGAGCCCUGUAAGGUAUGUUCUAUAGUCUAGUCUAGAGCCCUGUAAGGUAUGUUCUCUAGUCUAGUCUAGAGCCCUGUAAGGUAUGUUCUAUAGUCUAGUCUAGAGCCCUGUAAGGUAUGUUCUAUAGCCUAGUCUAGAGCCCUGUAAGGUAUGUUCUCUAGUCUAGAGCCCUGUAAGGUAUGUUCUAUAGCCUAGUCUAGAGCCCUGUAAGGU
Oncorhynchus keta (chum salmon) is the source of this 445-nucleotide long non-coding RNA. RefSeq lists it as uncharacterized. The transcript has 3 exons. The record is from RefSeq and is a predicted model, not a curated record. Lineage: Eukaryota; Metazoa; Chordata; Actinopteri; Salmoniformes; Salmonidae.